Molecule: long non-coding RNA, 5350 nt
Organism: Labeo rohita (rohu)
Lineage: Eukaryota; Metazoa; Chordata; Actinopteri; Cypriniformes; Cyprinidae
Exons: 3
Source: RefSeq, a predicted model, not a curated record
AUGAGCUUUGAUUCUUCAUGUGGCUUUCUCUUUAACCCACCUCAUUAUUAUGGUGGAUGUCAGUAUGUUAAAGGUACAAAACAGAUUUUAAUAGCAGUGUGUUCUCAGGCAUUCACCACAGCCACCUCCAUCUGCCACACCUCCAGUUGCACUGCCCACUCAUUCAUCGUCACCCGAAUUCUAAUCACCUGCACCUGAUCCUCACUGAGCCACACCCUAUAUAAGAGACAAUCUCACCAUUCCCCCUUUGUCUGGUCUACCGUUCACAUGCUAAUGUUAUUCCUGACUCCAUGCUUCUCUCCACGUGGAUUUCUCUGUUGCUCUCUGGUUUUGGUGUGGCUCACUCUCUGGAACUCACAUCUACUCAAUGUUACAAGGACAGUCAGUUAAGAACUCAUUCAUACUGUUUCAUUCAGUUUGCUGUACUUACAAGCUUGUCAGUAAAUCUCUGGAUUGGAUUGCUACUCAUUUCCUGUCUCCUCCGUGUAUGUGUGUGUAUUUGUGACAGAAGACCAGACCGAUACAAACAUGAGCACCAAAACACCAGCUGCAUCGGCUCCCCUCACCGAGUUGGUGAAUGCCUUUAAGACGGCGUUUCAACCCACACCUACGCCGCCAUCUGCCUCAGGAUCUCCCAUGGCCAUGCCCGCCACAUUUGCGGACGAGGCAGUUGAAUGUAGCGGGUUUUGUGCUCCAAGUCAAUCUGUAGAUCCAAAUGCACCACAUUUUCCCUUGGAGAACGCUAAAGUCACCUUUCUCAUCUCUCUCCUCACCGGUAAGGCCCUCCGAUGGGCAAAAGCUAUUUGGAGCUCCGACAAUCCCAUUCACUCCUAUGAACAAUUUACUAGUCAAUUCUCAGAGGUUUUCAGCACGGCUACCGGUACACUCACCGCUUCUGAUCAGCUGUUCCGCUUACAACAGGGGACUUCUUCAGUGAAUGACUACACUCUCCACUUCCACAUGCUGGUGGCGGCUAGUGGCUGGAACGAGAUCACGCUGCUGGGAGACUACAGACAAGGAUUCAACCCUGAAAUCCGCGGUGCUAUGGCCCUAUAUGACGACAGCAUUGGACUGGAGUCCUUUCUUCUAGGGCUGCACGAUUAAUCGCACGAUAUUGUGAGGCGCGCUUAGUCAAUGAAGCCGGUACUUUGAUUACUAGUAAAGCUCCAUCACGUGCGUUCAGCUGGAGUGGCAAUUAAUACACAGAGCCGUAAAUCACUGACAAGCUACGCCAAAUCGUGCUAAAAAUCGCAUUCGGAGUCAAGGAUCCAUCCAACCAUCUACCUCGCCGGCCUCAGGUUUGAGAAGUGUGAGUUCCACCAACCAUCAGUACAAUUUCUUGGAUCUGUCAUCAGCGCCGAGGGUGUGCAGAUGGAUCAGGGGAAAGUCUCCGCCAUACAAGAAUGGCCUCAACCUCACACAGUGAAAGACCUUCAAAGUUUUCUUGGUGUCUCCGAAUUUAUAUCGACACUUCAUCCAGAACUACAGCUCUAUCACGGCUCCGUUAACCUCCCUCCUGAGGGGUAAACCUAAGAAUCUCACCUGGAACCCUGCUGCUCACGAAGCAUCCCAACGGCUCAAGAACAUCUUUAGCACCGCACCCUUAUUACACCACCCAGAUCCUUAACUCCCCUUCACGGUUGAGGUCGACGCUUCCACCUCUGGAGUGGGUGCGGUGCUAUCCCAAGCGGCCGGCGAGCCUCUCCUCCAUCCCUGCGCGUUCUACUCACGUAGGCUGUCUCCGGAGCAAAACUACAACGUGGGAAACGGAGAACUACUAGCCAUCAAGUUGGCCCUGGAGGAGUGGCGCCACUGAUUGGAGGGAGCAGCUCAUCAGUUCACCAUCAUCAUGGAUCACAAGAACCUCCAAUAUCUCCCGAGAAGCAAGACGUUUAAACCCCAGACAAGCACGUUGGGCACUAUUCUUCACACGCUUCAACUUCAAGAUUACAUACCACCCCGGUUCCAAGAAUGUUUCUGCCAACGCUCUCUCUCAUCAGUUCUCCUCCGACUGCCCCUCUGAACCCAAACCUAUCAUCCCAUCCAACCUGAUUGUCAGCUCCCAUCCUCUGGAAUCAAGGCACAAACAUUCAGCAAGCCACCCUCCAGGAGCCUGCUCCACUGGAAUGCCCAGAGGGGAAGAUCUACGUGCCUCGCUCCCAACGUCAACCACUUCUGGGUGCAGCUCACCAGUCUCCGGGCUCUGGACGUCCAGGCAGCAAACGGACACUCUCGCUCCUUCAAUCUCAUUACUGGUGGCCCAGUAUGCGCCGUGAUACCAUCAGGUACGUCCAAAGCUACUCUGUCUGUGCUAUGUCUACCUCUCCCUGUCAACUACCCACAGGAAAGCUGGUACCAUUACCCAUCCCAGAGAGGCCCUGGUCCCACAUAGGAGUAGACUUUGUGAUUGUAUCUCCCUAACUCAGAAGGUAACGCCUGUGUACUAGUCAUUGUCGAUCGAUUCUCUAAUUCCCUCUAAGGGGACUGCCCACUGCACUAGAGACUGCAGAGCAUCUCUUCCAGCAGGUGUUUCGUCAUUUCGGCCUACCAGAGGAGAUUGUGUCGGACCAUGGACCUCAAUUCAUCUCGCAUGCCUGGAAAGCUUUCUUUAAGCUACUUGGUUUUUCUGUUAACCUCUCAUCCGGUUAUCAUCCACAGACCAAUGGCCAGCCAGAGAGAAAAAUCCAAGAGCUGGGGCGUUACUUCCGGGCAUACUGUCCGCCAAGAUACCACCAGCUUAACACCUUUCCAGUGCGUACUCGGUUAUCAGCCUCCGCUGUUUCCCUGGACGGAGGAACCCUCUAAUGUUCCAGCUGUAGACCACUGGUUUCAAGAGAGUGAGAGAGAGUGGGACUCAUUGGCAUCUCCAGCGGGCAGUUCGUCAACACAAGAGGUUCGCUGACACCAGAAGAAGGAUUGGAGCAGUCAGGGGAUCAGGUCUGGCUGUCCACCCGCGGUCUACGUCUGCGUCUGCUCUGCUGCAAGCUGAGUCCCUGCUACGUUGGUCUGUUCAAAAUCCUGAGGCAGAUCAACGACGUCACCUUCCAGCUUCAGCUCCCACCCAGGUACCGCAUUCACCCCACCUUCCUUCCACAUUUCCCUCCUAAAAACCUUUUUUCCCUCUGCCACAGAUCAUGCGGGAACCCCCUCCUCCGGAAGUCCUAGACCAACCCUCCAUCUUUACGGUCCACGAGCUCUUGGACUCACGGCGUCGGGGGGGCCACUUGGAAUACCUCGUCGACUGGGAGGGGUAUGGGCCUGAGGAGCGAUCCUGGGUGCCCAGAGACGACGUACUCGAUCCUACCUUACUACAGGAGUUCCAUCGGAACCACCCGGAUCGUCCUGCCCCUCGCAGUCGUGGUCGCCCUCUGCGUCGUGUAAGGGCGUCGGGAGCCGCCCCUGGAGGAGGGGGUAGUGUCAGGCAUUCACCACAGCCACCUCCAUCUGCCACAACUCCAGUUGCACCGCCCACUCAUUCAUCAUCACCCCAAUUCUAAUCACCUGCACCUGAUCCUCAUUGAGCCAUGCCCUAUAUAAGAGACACUCUCACCAUUCCCCUUUUGCCUGGUCUACCGUUCACAUGCUAACGCUAUUCCUGACUCCAUGCUUCUCUCCACGUGGAUUUCUCCGUUGCUCUCUGGUUUUGGUGUGGCUCACUCUCUGGAACUCACAUCUACUCAACGUUACAAGGACAGUCAGUUAAGAACUCAUACAUACGGUGUCAUUCCAUUUGCUGUACUUACAAGCUUGUCAAAUCUCUGGAUUGGAUUGCUACUCACCUCCUGUCUCCUCCGUGUAUGUGUGUGUAUUUGUGACAUGUGCGUUGUUGAAUUUACUGCUUUACAUUCAAAUUUUCUUGUUUGUAAGUUACAGUUUUGUACUGUAAAAUGUACAGUUUUUGGCCGUAAAUGUGUUUACAGUAUUUUACAAUUUUUUUUUUUCAAAUUAUUUUGUAAAAACUACAGAAUUUUGUGUAUAUACUAAUAUUACAUCUCUUCUUUGUUGUAGAAGUUCUUGAAUGUCUGUUUAAAGAGUGCAUGGAGGAAAACUAUUACACAGUUUUUCCUAGCGCUUUCCCAGCAAGGGAAACAGGAACAGGGAAAGGGUGGCCCACCAUCCACUAUGCACACAUUUCCUUCCUUGCAAACCCUAAACAAACUAAACUCACCAACUACUCCAUGCAGCUUAAAAAAUUAUGCGUACUAGUAACAAAAAUGCACUAGUGUAUAUGUAGCCUUAGUACUGAGAGAUAUAAACUUACACUUCUGACUUAUUUCUCAGUUCCCCUCAAAAAAACAAAGAAUUCUGAAAUAAAAAGUCGCAAUAACAUUUUUACUUUUAUUCCUUGGUGAAAACAAGCUUCCAUGUAACUGUUCAUACACUUGAGAUGCAAUAAUUAUGUCAUGUUAACCUAUGCUCUACAGUGAAAUGUAUAUAAUACUAGCAGGUUAUUUUACAUUAGCAACAGUAGUUGUACUAUUAGUAGUAGUUUAUUAUUAGCUGUAUGUGAACGGAAACAGAGUUUCUUUGAGGUCAAGUUAAUAAAGGCAAACAAAUCAAUGCAAGCAAAUGAAGGCCCUCACAUUCGCUCAUGAAUAUGCAUGAGUGAGGAGAUACUGUAUCACUCAAAUGAUAAGAUUUUAUAUAGUCAUAUACACAGACGCAAAAGCGUAUCUGCGUGGGUUCUUUUCUCCACAUGCAUCUGUCCUGAAUGUUCAUUUAGUAGAGGUAUCAGUGCAGAUCAUGUAUUUAUAAAGGAUGGAGACAGGAUGAGUGGAGGCACACUGACCCUGUGAAGUCUGUUUACAUUGAGUAGAGGACAUUAUGUUCAUUUAGUUUGAAUAUAUCAGCAGUCAGUCACAGUACUGAUGAUUUAGGAAGGAAACUGUGGACCUUAAAAGUGUCAGUGGCUGGUAGCAUGUCAAAGUGCUUCACCUGGAGGCCAUAUUGGUAUUUGUUGACCUGAUGCCUCCACCAUGGAUUGCCAUUGGAUGCUUUUAUGCUUUAUAUUAAUUAUAUUGUCAUUAUGUGUAAGCUGUAACUGCACAGAUGAAGAAACUAAGUCUUCAGGGGACCAGGCCAGCCGCCUGAGACACAUGUGGCAGCUCUCAAUGAGGGAUGCAAAGAUGAGAAAGAAGGCAGCCGUAGAGGAGUCUAAUCCAGCUCAACAUCAGCUGCUGUAUUGCCGUGUUGGGAUUGGUUUCCACCUACAGAUUGUGAUGAACGGCAGUGUGGGGGGCGUUCACGAGCCUUCUGAGCUUGCUAAGAGUGUUUGCUGUCAGGCCGGGCAUAGUGGGUAUCCGUGGUGUGAAGAGUGAACGAUAUUUGUGCAUGAAUCAAGAAGGAAUUG